GCCUCUUGAAUCUCAUAAGAGGUCCAGCCUGCCCAGUGACACAAUUAAACGGCCGCGGUACCCUGACCGUGCGAAGGUAGCAUAAUCACUUGUUCUCUAAAUAAGGACUUGUAUCAACGGCAUCACGAGGGUUAUACUGUCUCCUCUUUUUAAUCAGUGAAACUGACUUUCCCGUGAAGAGGCGGGAAUAGAAAUACAAGACGAGAAGACCCCAUGGAGCUUUAAACCCAAUAGUAACCUCUAUUUACUACUACUACUUAAUCAAGAAGGUCUACCUACUGGUUUUAGGUUGGGGUGACCCUGGAGUAAAACUAAGCCUCCAUGACGAAUAGAAUUAUUCUAAUCCCAGAGCCACUGCUCUACGAAUCAAAAUUUUGACGUAAACUGAUCCGCCUAGCGAUCAACGAACCAAGUUACCCUGGGGAUAACAGCGCAAUCCAUUUCAAGAGCCCCUAUCGACAAAUGGGUUUACGACCUCGAUGUUGGAUCAGGGUAUCCAGUGGUGCAGCCCUACUAAGGUUUGUU
Molecule: ribosomal RNA, 525 nt
Filed under: Limnonectes doriae (Doria's frog)
Lineage: Eukaryota; Metazoa; Chordata; Amphibia; Anura; Dicroglossidae
Description: partial large subunit ribosomal RNA
Rfam family: Bacterial large subunit ribosomal RNA
Source: RNAcentral